UACGGAGGGUGCAAGCGUUAUCCGGAUUUACUGGGUUUAAAGGGUGCGUAGGCGGAUUAGUAAGUCAGUGGUGAAAGCCCAUCGCUUAACGGUGGAACUGCCAUUGAUACUGCUAGUCUUGAGUAUGGUUGAGGUGGGCGGAAUGUGUCAUGUAGCGGUGAAAUGCUUAGAUAUGACCCAGAACACCAAUUGCGAAGGCAGCUCGCUAAGCCAUAACUGACGCUGAUGCACGAAAGUGUGGGGAUCAAACAGG
RNAcentral lists this ribosomal RNA (253 nucleotides) under uncultured bacterium. Its description in RNAcentral is "partial 16S ribosomal RNA". It matches the Rfam family "Bacterial small subunit ribosomal RNA", at positions 524 to 776 of the family's 1533-position model. The record is from RNAcentral.